Molecule: non-coding RNA, 26 nt
Filed under: Homo sapiens (human)
Lineage: Eukaryota; Metazoa; Chordata; Mammalia; Primates; Hominidae
Source: RNAcentral
UGAGCCAAAGGUCGGCCAAGGUAUGC